Molecule: ribosomal RNA, 253 nt
Filed under: uncultured bacterium
Lineage: Bacteria
Description: partial 16S ribosomal RNA
Rfam family: Bacterial small subunit ribosomal RNA
Source: RNAcentral
UACGGGGGGAGCAAGCGUUGUUCGGAUUUACUGGGCGUAAAGGGCGCGUAGGCGGCGCAACAAGCCACUUGUGAAAUCUCCGGGCUUAACCCGGAGCGGCCAAGUGAUACUGUCGUGCUAGAGUGCGGAAGGGGCUACUGGAAUUCUCGGUGUAGCGGUGAAAUGCGUAGAUAUCGAGAGGAACACCUGCGGCGAAGGCGGGUAGCUGGGCCGACACUGACGCUGAUGCGCGAAAGCCAGGGGAGCGAACGGG